CCGGUUUAAGCGUGUAGGCUGGUUUUCCAGGCAAAUCCGGAAAAUCAAGGCUGAGGCGUGACGACGAGGCACUACGGUGCUGAAGCAACAAAUGCCCUGCUUCCAGGAAAAGCCUCUAAGCAUCAGGUAACAUCAAAUCGUACCCCAAACCGACACAGGUGGUCAGGUAGAGAAUACCAAGGCGCUUGAGAGAACUCGGGUGAAGGAACUAGGCAAAAUGGUGCCGUAACUUCGGGAGAAGGCACGCUGACACGUAGGUGAAGUGAUUUACUCAUGGAGCUGAAGUCAGUCGAAGAUACCAGCUGGCUGCAACUGUUUAUUAAAAACACAGCACUGUGCAAACACGAAAGUGGACGUAUACGGUGUGACGCCUGCCCGGUGCCGGAAGGUUAAUUGAUGGGGUCAGCGCAAGCGAAGCUCCUGAUCGAAGCCCCGGUAAACGGCGGCCGUAACUAUAACGGUCCUAAGGUAGCGAAAUUCCUUGUCGGGUAAGUUCCGACCUGCACGAAUGGCGUAAUGAUGGCCAGGCUGUCUCCACCCGAGACUCAGUGAAAUUGAACUCGCUGUGAAGAUGCAGUGUACCCGCGGCAAGACGGAAAGACCCCGUGAACCUUUACUAUAGCUUGACACUGAACAUUGAGCCUUGAUGUGUAGGAUAGGUGGGAGGCUUUGAAGUGUGGACGCCAGUCUGCAUGGAGCCGGCCUUGAAAUACCACCCUUUAAUGUUUGAUGUUCUAACGUGGACCCGUGAUCCGGGUUGCGGACAGUGUCUGGUGGGUAGUUUGACUGGGGCGGUCUCCUCCUAAAGAGUAACGGAGGAGCACGAAGGUUGGCUAAUCCUGGUCGGACAUCAGGAGGUUAGUGCAAUGGCAUAAGCCAGCUUGACUGCGAGCGUGACGGCGCGAGCAGGUGCGAAAGCAGGUCAUAGUGAUCCGGUGGUUCUGAAUGGAAGGGCCAUCGCUCAACGGAUAAAAGGUACUCCGGGGAUAACAGGCUGAUACCGCCCAAGAGUUCAUAUCGACGGCGGUGUUUGGCACCUCGAUGUCGGCUCAUCACAUCCUGGGGCUGAAGUAGGUCCCAAGGGUAUGGCUGUUCGCCAUUUAAAGUGGUACGCGAGCUGGGUUUAGAACGUCGUGAGACAGUUCGGUCCCUAUCUGCCGUGGGCGCUGGAGAACUGAGGGGGGCUGCUCCUAGUACGAGAGGACCGGAGUGGACGCAUCACUGGUGUUCGGGUUGUCAUGCCAAUGGCACUGCCCGGUAGCUAAAUGCGGAAGAGAUAAGUGCUGAAAGCAUCUAAGCACGAAACUUGCCCCGAGAUGAGUUCUCCCUGAGACUUUAGGUCUCCUGAAGGAACGUUGAAGACGACGACGUUGAUAGGCCGGGUGUGUAAGCGCAGCGAUGCGUUGAGCUAACCGGUACUAAUGAACCGUGAGGCUUAACCUUACA
RNAcentral lists this ribosomal RNA (1446 nucleotides) under Salmonella enterica. Its description in RNAcentral is "partial 23S ribosomal RNA". It matches the Rfam family "Bacterial large subunit ribosomal RNA", at positions 1507 to 2925 of the family's 2925-position model. Lineage: Bacteria; Pseudomonadati; Pseudomonadota; Gammaproteobacteria; Enterobacterales; Enterobacteriaceae. The record is from RNAcentral.